CCUACGGGUGGCAGCAGUAGGGAAUUUUCGUCAAUGGGCGCAAGCCUGAACGAGCAAUGCCGCGUGAACGAGGAAGGUCUUCGGAUCGUAAAGUCCUGUUGAAGGGGAAAAAGAGCGGAGAGUGGAAAGGAAAACCGAUGGAUAUCACCCUUCGAGGAAGUCACGGCUAAAUACGUGCAAGCAGCCGAGGUAAUACGAAGGUGGCGAGCGUUAUCCGGAAUGAUUGGGCGUAAAGGGUGCGUAGGCGGCCUGCUAAGCCGGGAGUGAAAGGUUCAGGCUCAACCGGUACAGGCACUUGAAACUGGCGGGCUAGAGAGCAGGAGAGGGCGGUGGAACUCCAUGUGUAGCGGUAAAAUGCGUAGAUAUAAGGAAGAACACCAGUGGCGAAGGCGGCCGCCUGGCCUGUUACUGACGCUGAGGCACGAAAGCGUGGGGAGCAAAUAGGAUUAGAUACCCCAGUAGUC
This 464-nucleotide ribosomal RNA is filed under the name uncultured bacterium. RNAcentral's name for it is "partial 16S ribosomal RNA". It matches the Rfam family "Bacterial small subunit ribosomal RNA", at positions 338 to 795 of the family's 1533-position model. The record is from RNAcentral.